This 253-nucleotide ribosomal RNA is filed under the name uncultured bacterium. Its description in RNAcentral is "partial 16S ribosomal RNA". It matches the Rfam family "Bacterial small subunit ribosomal RNA", at positions 524 to 776 of the family's 1533-position model. The record is from RNAcentral.
UACGUAGGGCGCAAGCGUUGUCCGGAAUUAUUGGGCGUAAAGAGCUCGUAGGCGGUUUGUCGCGUCUGCUGUGAAAACUCGAGGCUCAACCUCGGGCUUGCAGUGGGUACGGGCAGACUAGAGUGCGGUAGGGGUGACUGGAAUUCCUGGUGUAGCGGUGGAAUGCGCAGAUAUCAGGAGGAACACCGAUGGCGAAGGCAGGUCUCUGGGCCAUAACUGACGCUGAGGAGCGAAAGCGUGGGGAGCGAACAGG